CUCGAAGACGCACACAUAGCCCUCGCGCAGCCUGUUGUCAUGAACAAACUUGCUCCAGCGCCGGCAGUUGAAGCCUCGGGUGACGCUCCCAUGAUGAUCAGCUGCAAAUUUGCUGGGGACGAUCUGCAGGCAGAGCAUCAACUUGUUCAAUAUUGGUUAGAUACCACAGUUCAGCAGCAUCAUGGAAUUGGACUAGUAGCGUUGCUACUGAAGGGGUCAAGGCACAUCUACUCUUUAGAUAGUCUUGACUGCAUUUCUUGCUUAUAUCAGUAAGAAAAUCACCAUCUUCAGGUAUUUCUUAGAUUACAUAUUCAGGAACCUAGAACACAGGAAAGACAUCAUCUAAAAAAGGGAAACAUAAAGAUGGAGUACAUGAAGUUUUUGCCCAGGAUCCCAAAUCUAACAGCGAGAAGUUAUAUGCUGUUUCCCCAUUCAAGGCAAACAUUUUGUUCUGGGUUCCUUCCAUUAUCAGCGAUAAUGUAACAAGUAUCCAGCGGUUUUCAGCAAAAACAAAACAAAAGCAGAAGUUCUAUA
This is a long non-coding RNA of Hordeum vulgare subsp. vulgare (domesticated barley), 534 nucleotides long. RefSeq lists it as uncharacterized. The transcript is spliced from 2 exons. The record is from RefSeq and is a predicted model, not a curated record. NCBI's taxonomy places the organism in Eukaryota, Viridiplantae, Streptophyta, Magnoliopsida, Poales, Poaceae.